UAACAGGCCUUCGGGCGCUGACGAGUGGCGGACGGGUGAGUAACGCGUAGGAAUCUGCCUUAUAGUGGGGGACAACGUGGGGAAACCCACGCUAAUACCGCAUACGCCCUACGGGGGAAAGCGGGGGAUCGUAAGACCUCGCGCUAUGAGAUGAGCCUGCGUUAGAUUAGCUAGUUGGUAGGGUAAAGGCCUACCAAGGCGACGAUCUAUAGCUGGUCUGAGAGGACGAUCAGCCACACUGGGACUGAGACACGGCCCAGACUCCUACGGGAGGCAGCAGUGGGGAAUAUUGGACAAUGGGCGCAAGCCUGAUCCAGCAAUACCGCGUGUGUGAAGAAGGCCUUAGGGUUGUAAAGCACUUUCAAUGGGGAGGAAAACCUGCCGGUCAAUACCCGGUAGCUUGACAUUACCUAUAGAAGAAGCACCGGCUAACUCCGUGCCAGCAGCCGCGGUAAUACGGAGGGUGCGAGCGUUAAUCGGAAUUCUGGGCGUAAAGCGUGCGUGGCGGCUCGUUAAGUCAGAUGUGAAAG
RNAcentral lists this ribosomal RNA (530 nucleotides) under uncultured Methylobacter sp. Its description in RNAcentral is "bacterial SSU rRNA". It matches the Rfam family "Bacterial small subunit ribosomal RNA", at positions 70 to 600 of the family's 1533-position model. The record is from RNAcentral. Lineage: Bacteria; Pseudomonadati; Pseudomonadota; Gammaproteobacteria; Methylococcales; Methylococcaceae.